AAGAAGAAGAAGAAACCUACAGUGUCUGCAGUUCAUUAGGGCAGAGUUCAUACCAGUUUUGUGCAGGGUCCACACAGCCAAACCCAAGGGGUAAGGGUGGGCUGUCCGCUUACGGGCACCCGGAUUGGGGACGGCAGGCAAGAGGCACAGUGGGCUGAGCUGGGAACAGGAAGCAGGCACAACGGUGGAGAGCAGACAUUAAAAGAACCGCACACGUGGGGAUAAAGAUACAAGCUCUGGGAAGGGCCCACAGAAAGAAACAAAGGACCUCCUUUAGCCAGGGACGGGCUGAGCUGGAACAGUUCCACCGAGCUAGCAAGGCAGAGAAGGAUUUCACCUGCUCAGCGUCCUGGCCUCAAAAUUGUACCUCUCUCCAGCUCCAUGUGAGGUGAGGCUGUCUCUUGGAGCACUUGGAUCACACCGGUACCAAACAUGGACUUUCUCUGCACUUCUAGCCCCGUGGAUGGCCUGCGAGUGGCAUUUUCUGGGUACAACUGAGGCAUCCAGCUGGUGCUCCUUACAUGUUAGCAGAACACAUCCCACCCACUGUCCUUGAGGAGGCCAUCCAUUCCUUACUGAAGCAAUCCACUAUCCUACUGGCAGAGUUAUCAGCUCCAGGGAGCCAAGGUAAAUUGAGAGUGAAAUGUUUUUUGGAGAGCCCACAGAGACAUGUCACAGUUCUCUCUGUUUCUGGGCCUUCGAGUCAUGAGGAUCAGUCUCUGAUGUGGGACAGGGAUACAGCCACCCCUCCCAGGCAACUGGCAGCAAAACAUGAGAGGAGAACAGCAGAAAGGUGGAGCCAACCGUGGGAGAACCACACUUCUAGAGCCCAAAAAGGGCAAAAACAGUCACACAAGAACAGAAGAGCUCUUAAGAAUAGUGGGCUGGAUUCUAAAACUGGGACCCAAACACCUGGACAUUUCCCGUGUCCCUGCUGUGAUUGGCACUGGGCUGGGGGCACAGAUCUGAAGCCCACAGAACCCUGCCUUCAGGAGCUCAGAGUUGGUGGGUCCAGGAGAAGUGGAAUAAAUGAGGCAGAGUAUGAAACCCUGAGAGGGUUGGUCCUGCUGACCUCUUCAGUACCCUUCCCCUCACCCCUUGGCCUUGUACCUCACGCUCAUGGUCAAAAUGGACUAUGGUGGUUACCCAAACACACUGCCAGGUGCUCGUACCCCUGCUAUUUUCACUUCACUACUUGGAAUACUUUUCCUCCUCUUUGCCUAAUAAUCCUUCAAGCCUCAGCUAAAAUGUUACCUUCCUGCUGAAUGUUCUUUCAUUUUAUUAAAGAAAUACAGGCAUUAA
Neofelis nebulosa (Clouded leopard) is the source of this 1302-nucleotide long non-coding RNA. RefSeq lists it as uncharacterized. NCBI's taxonomy places the organism in Eukaryota, Metazoa, Chordata, Mammalia, Carnivora, Felidae. The transcript is spliced from 3 exons. The record is from RefSeq and is a predicted model, not a curated record.